Long non-coding RNA from Bactrocera neohumeralis, 559 nucleotides. RefSeq lists it as uncharacterized. The transcript is spliced from 2 exons. The record is from RefSeq and is a predicted model, not a curated record. NCBI's taxonomy places the organism in Eukaryota, Metazoa, Arthropoda, Insecta, Diptera, Tephritidae.
AACAGCCCCGCAAAAAACGUUUAAAAAAUAAAAUACAAUAAAACGAAAUAAAUUUAUAAAAAAAAACAAAUUUAUAGAAAUGAAAAUAAUGGCAAAUAUUUAAUAGAUAAUUUAAAUUGUUAGUGGUGUUCAAUAAGUUUCGAUAUAUCAGAAAAGUAUCAUCAAUGGCUAUAAGUAAUUAGAAUAUAUCGAGGACACAGCAAAACUAAACAUCAACUGUGCAUCUACUAUAGUAAUAGCCGUAUUUUUAUCCGGCCAAUGACUGUCAAACCGGCAGAACUCCUUCAAUUACUUCAAGAAUGUUUUCGGCCGCUACAAGAACAAGAUAAAGCAUAUCGUUCCCACGACAGUCGGAUCUACGAAACUAGAACUGACUUCAGGAUUAUUUUCUGCAGCUAAAAUAACAGUAUUCAACAUUUUUUACGCGAGGCGAUUUACCGGUAUUCGUUUUAAACAUUAAAUAUAAUUCUUCGUCAGUAAUUUGUAUGUCAUGUUUUCGGAGCAUAUGUGUCGUUAUACUGCAAUAAAAAUGAACAUAUACAUUUUUUCAUUUUCGUUA